GACGAACGCUGGCGGCGUGCUUAACACAUGCAAGUCGAACGGAAAGGCCUUUUCGGAGGUACUCGAGUGGCGAACGGGUGAGUAACACGUGGGUGAUCUGCCCUGCACUCUGGGAUAAGCCUGGGAAACUGGGUCUAAUACCGGAUAGGACCGCACUUUAGUGUGUGUGGUGGAAAGUUUUUUCGGUGUAGGAUGAGCCCGCGGCCUAUCAGCUUGUUGGUGGGGUAAUGGCCUACCAAGGCGGCGACGGGUAGCCGGACUGAGAGGUUGGUCGGCCACAUUGGGACUGAGAUACGGCCCCGACUCCUACGGGAGGCAGCAGUGGGGAAGAUUGCACAAUGGGCGCAAGCCUGAUGCAGCGACGCCGCGUGGGGGAUGACGGCCUUCGGGUUGUAAACUCCUUUCGCCAGGGACGAAGCGUUUUGUGACGGUACCUGGAGAAGAAGCCCCGGCUAACUACGUG
RNAcentral lists this ribosomal RNA (463 nucleotides) under uncultured bacterium. RNAcentral describes it as "partial 16S ribosomal RNA". It matches the Rfam family "Bacterial small subunit ribosomal RNA", at positions 28 to 507 of the family's 1533-position model. The record is from RNAcentral.